AAUUGUCCAACUCCAGAAUAAUUGCAGUUCACAAAUAGACUAACAAGAUCAGAGAAUCAAACCUUGGAUAUAUAACUCCAUCAGAGGCUCGCCGACACCGGAGCAGGGAUCAAGUAAUCCACAACAAUGACACUCUCCAGCAGCGGCCUCACCUUCUCCUUAAACGCCUCCACCUCGCCGGCAGCAUCCAUCGCAUCGAGCUCCUCCAACCCGGGAAAAACAGUCAGAAACCCCACACCAUACCCCUUCGCUCUCUCCGGCGAGAAAUUCUCCCCGUAGCUCACCUGCACAACCCCCGCCGGGGCCGAUCCCUCCACCCCAGCGAGUACAUCCACAAUCUCCGACGACUCCACCCCCUCCUUCGGCUUCACCAGCGUCAGCCGCGCCGCUGACCCCGGCGGCGGCCCUGCUGCUGUGGAGAGCCAGUCGAGAGCCAUGAUAUCGUCGCAGAUCGGGAGGACGUUGUUCUUGACGACGGCGACGUGAUCCGGGUGGGCGGAGUAGGCGGCGAGGUCGGGCUUGGAGGGAUAGCGGCUGUGGAGGAGGUGAGUGAAGCCAGCGGCAGAGGCGGCGGAGGAGCGGUGGCGGAGGAUGGGGGUGACGGAGAGGUGAGAGGCGAGGUUUAGGGAGGUGAGGGAGAGGAUGUUGGAGACCAUGGCGGAGGAAUCGGCGGAGGGUUGGAUUUUCAACAGAACGACGUGCUCGACGGCGGUGGACAUCUUGGCGGCGGCCGCAGAGGAGGGGAGGAAAGGGCGGAGGGAAGGGGAUCGGAGUGGGAAAGAGGGGGAAAUGGG
Molecule: unclassified non-coding RNA, 794 nt
Filed under: Hevea brasiliensis (rubber tree)
Lineage: Eukaryota; Viridiplantae; Streptophyta; Magnoliopsida; Malpighiales; Euphorbiaceae
Source: RNAcentral